Molecule: long non-coding RNA, 3325 nt
Organism: Stylophora pistillata
Lineage: Eukaryota; Metazoa; Cnidaria; Anthozoa; Scleractinia; Pocilloporidae
Source: RefSeq, a predicted model, not a curated record
UUCUUCUCUCUUAUGGCAUUCACCAAACCUACAGCGCCCUGUCAUACACAUCACUCAUUUCCUUUUAUCGGAUUUAAUCUGUCAGCUAUGUCAAAAAAACGAUCGUCGUUUAAUGGGUUUAGGCACGUAUUCAAGGACAGUUCAUUUGAACUCAAUGGACUUUACGAUGUCUAUCUGCUCAUAGUGGAAGCUUUGCCCGAUAAGAGGGGGGAUUAACCUGUGAGGGAAAACGGAAAGACUUGCCAGAUUGUUUUAUUUCCCUUGAUCAUGUCAAAGUCUAGCUCACUUGUCCUGUGUAUUGUAACAGGUGGGCUAAGUUUGGAUGACAGACGUGACUCCCGCGAGGAUGUUGUGUGACACGUGGUCGAUCAGUCAGCUUGCCAAGCGAUGACUCGGAGAUCAUGCCAAUCAACUGAACACAAACAUCGUUUCAUGUAGCUCUGUUUGGUCUUGUGGAAGGUUAAAAAAGUAAAACUUAAGCUUAAGUGCAAGCUUUUCUCUGAAAUAUCAAUUUCCUCCCACUGCUGUUCUUUGUCAUCUAACUGAUAGUCCCAAUGGGGUCAUGGCAUUUACGGCUAACGGUUAAAAUUUUGGCCAACUUACGUCAAACGAAAGGCUCAAAAUACACAAGCAAUUGACGUCGGCAUUGACAGUUUCACCUGGUGUCAUUUUAUGCUUUCUUGAGGAGGUUAAUUCCUUGACUCAUUCCAAAGCAAAUCAGAAACUUUAGAGAUUUGAAUCUUCAAGAUUUACGAAGAGCGAAGGGUACUAUAAUCCAAUUUAAAAUGUAAAUUUAAUUUUUAUUGAAUUGUAAUUUGAUGUUGUCAACUUUGAUUCAGUACCUUUAUGAGCUAAGUACAUGAAUGAUACAUAAUUACGUUUCAUAUUGUAAGGAGAGGACUAUUUGCCGUUUUUGAGGGACUCAUUGUUCCUCACCAUGUAUGAAACGAGCUUAAAAAAAGAAAGAAGUCAAAGGCUACACAGAAAACAAGCUUAAAUAAAGGAGAUCUGCAGCUAAAAAGAAAAUAUCAUAGAGGAUGGAAAGUAUCUAUUUUACACAGAAGAAAUCAAAUUUAUGUCAACAUCGCCAUUUCAUUGCCGUCAUUUAGAAGCCGUCUAAAAGUCAACGGUUAGUCUUACAAAACAAUCUUGUCUUUUGAGCCAACAACUGUUCUAAAGGUUGCCAUGUGUGGUUAGUAGUCCAUUUCUACCGGAAGACCGAAGAUUUUCAUAAUCACGUACCUAACCACACUGUGGCGUUUUUCACACAAGCUUAUUAUUGUCCAGUGCCGCCCCCAUCGUUUGCCUGGGGAAUGUGUGAUACCCCAUGUAUCAGGUUUGUACAAUUCAAUUACUUUAAACAAACAUUUGUGCAAGGUAUAACCAGGUGUUUGUAGGUUUGUUUUAGAGAACAGCUUGCUGUGAUAAAAAAUGUACAAAAUUUUGUUUGGGCAAACCACCAAAUUAAAUGACCUGGAUUUGUGGCUGGGGCCCUGAUUGCAAACAUCAUGUUGUGAAAAGUAUCCAGGUAGUGUUUACCAAACUUCAACAGCCUUUCAACCUCCCUCGAAUACUGCAGCUUAACGAAAUAAAGUGGGUAAGGCCAGAAUAAAUAAGAAACUGGCACAUUUGAGCGAAAGUAGCAUUUUACUUCGGUGGAAAUGAGCUAAUCGGCCUUGAAUUCCGUAAGUCACGCAAAAUAAUAGACUUGACUUAUGACAAGUGAUGAAUGGACUUUCGCAGGUUAACUGCGGGUAAGCCUAAGCGAAACCUGAAAUAUUUUUUGGCCUGAGUUUAUACAGUUGCUUGAAUUGCAGUAUACUCGUGCAAAUCGAUUCCUUUCAUAUCAUCUAUAGUUGAAAUCCAUGCAUCAUUCCAAAAACAUUCUUUCACCUUUCACUCCCUAACAUCUAAAUCGUAAAGUUGGACAAAUUUCUCCAAAGUAUCUCAAACAGAAGUAAUUAAUUUUACCCUACUAGCAAAUAACUUGUGUUCUUUGUCACUCGUUAAGUCCACAUCCCCCCUAUUUACAAAACCCAACAGAAUAACUACUCGGAUAAAAGCUACUGAACAGUUAUUUUAUGUGGUACUCACUGCUUUGCUGUGUAAAGUGCCUCUUACAUCGUGGAUAAAACCCACGCGUGUCACCAUCCAAAAGAAAGCUACUUAACAGUUACAACUAAUUCUUUGCAUUAAACCAUAAUAUGUGUCCAUUCAAAUAAACUAUGAGCCUUUCUCCAUUCAAAUAAAGCCAAGCAGUAUUUACAUUUGGUCCUACAGAAUGAUUCUGACUUUCAAGUUUGUGGAUGGAACCCUAAUGUGUAAAAAUGAUGCAAAUGAAAAACAAUGUGCUUCAAUGUAUCUACCUUUUGAGGUGUGCGGUUAAAACCGUAUUGUAAUGUUCGCAAAUGGAGGCUUCUCGACAGAACUUCAACAUGACUUCUAAAGUUUUGUUUGGCCAGACAAAACCGCAAAACAAAUUGAGUGUAUUUGACUGAGAGCCUGCAGAUCGUAUCAGCGAACCCUUCAGACCAAGGACAGUCUCACAUGAUUGCCGGAGAAGUUCCCUAAUAGGAAUUUAAUCGUCGCUUUUUGUUUCUUUUGAUCGGAGCAACUUGUGGGACGAACGUUUAAGUUCACGAAUCUUGCCUAACUCGACUUUCUGAUGUGUUCCAAACGGCGUUGAACGGUCAUCGCAAGUUCGCGACAACAAUGCCGGAGCAUAAUUCUUGGAAUUAAAGAAAUCUUACUCUGUGAACAUAAAUCCUAAACAGAGAAACUUUUUUCCUGAAACUGCAGAAAUAUAUGCACGUAAACGGUAGUAGUGUCGAUCAACUCAUCUUUGUAGAUCUUUGAGAGUCAUGUACAAGCAUUGCGCACGUUUGAAAACAAGUAUAUAGCGAUGCAAUUUAGGUGAGAAGAAACUGAGUUGUAUUUACUUAUAUUUUGUUUAACGAUCGAAAUGAGAAGAAGUUACCCUAUCGUUGAAGCUGUCCCUGAAAUAUAGCAGGCACCAAAUAGGACAGCAUGGAUAAUAUUGUGAGCUCGUUUUCGAUAUAUUUUGUGUCGUACUUUAGUUUCAGUGAAUGAAAAUGAAACGUGUAUUAAAGUGAGUUAGGUUCAUCUGGCCAACCCAAAGAUUCAUUCUUUACCUUUUGUGCUAUAACAGAGAAGAAAUAAAGGACUUCGCCAGAGUAUUUCCCUCAUACCUGCACGAAUUUUCGCACAACAUGCAUGCAGGGAUUAUUAAUCCGUAGCAUGUUUCGAAUUCAUGCGGAGUAUAUUACUCCUUACCGGUGUUAAUUCGUUGUUUUUUAAGAAGGAU